RNAcentral lists this ribosomal RNA (260 nucleotides) under uncultured Oscillospiraceae bacterium. RNAcentral describes it as "partial 16S ribosomal RNA". It matches the Rfam family "Bacterial small subunit ribosomal RNA", at positions 79 to 339 of the family's 1533-position model. Lineage: Bacteria; Bacillati; Bacillota; Clostridia; Eubacteriales; Oscillospiraceae. The record is from RNAcentral.
AAGAUGGAACAUCUGAGUGGCGGACGGGUGAGUAACACGUGAGCAACCUGCCUUACAGAGGGGGAUAACGUCUGGAAACGGACGCUAAUACCGCAUGACGCAUAGAGGUCGCAUGAUCUUUAUGCCAAAGAUUUAUCGCUUCAAGAUGGCCUCGCGUCUGAUUAGCUGGUUGGCGGGGUAACGGCCCACCAAGGCGACGAUCAGUAGCCGGACUGAGAGGUUGAACGGCCACAUUGGGACUGAGAUACGGCCCAGACUCC